AGUGAACGCUGGCGGUAGGCCUAACACAUGCAAGUCGAACGGCAGCACAGUAAGAGCUUGCUCUUACGGGUGGCGAGUGGCGGACGGGUGAGGAAUACAUCGGAAUCUACUUUUUCGUGGGGGAUAACGUAGGGAAACUUACGCUAAUACCGCAUACGACCUACGGGUGAAAGCAGGGGACCUUCGGACCUUGCGCGAUUGAAUGAGCCGAUGUCGGAUUAGCUAGUUGGCGGGGUAAAGGCCCACCAAGGCGACGAUCCGUAGCUGGUCUGAGAGGAUGAUCAGCCACACUGGAACUGAGACACGGUCCAGACUCCUACGGGAGGCAGCAGUGGGGAAUAUUGGACAAUGGGCGCAAGCCUGAUCCAGCCAUACCGCGUGGGUGAAGAAGGCCUUCGGGUUGUGAAGCCCUUUUGUUGGGAAAGAAAAGCAGCAGGUUAAUACCCCGCUGUUCUGACGGUACCCAAAGAAUAAGCACCGGCUAACUUCGUG
This 492-nucleotide ribosomal RNA is filed under the name uncultured bacterium. Its description in RNAcentral is "partial 16S ribosomal RNA". It matches the Rfam family "Bacterial small subunit ribosomal RNA", at positions 29 to 507 of the family's 1533-position model. The record is from RNAcentral.